Molecule: transfer RNA, 68 nt
Filed under: Marmota monax (woodchuck)
Lineage: Eukaryota; Metazoa; Chordata; Mammalia; Rodentia; Sciuridae
Description: tRNA.Ala
Source: RNAcentral
GUUCAGUGGCUCAGGGGUAGAGCACUCGUCUAGCAUGUGCGAGGCCCUGGGUUCGAUCCUCAGCACCA